RNAcentral lists this ribosomal RNA (421 nucleotides) under uncultured Glomeromycotina. RNAcentral describes it as "SSU rRNA". It matches the Rfam family "Eukaryotic small subunit ribosomal RNA", at positions 673 to 1092 of the family's 1831-position model. The record is from RNAcentral. Lineage: Eukaryota; Fungi; Glomeromycota.
GUACGUACUGGCAUUGUUGGUUUCUCCCUUCUGAUGAAUCAUGAUGUCAUUAAUUUGAUGUCAUGGGGAAUCAGGACUGUUACUUUGAAAAAAUUAGAGUGUUUAAAGCAGGCUCGCGCUUGAAUACAUUAGCAUGGAAUAAUGAAAUAGGACGUUUGAUUCUAUUUUGUUGGUUUCUAGGAUCGACGUAAUGAUUAAUAGGGAUAGUUGGGGGCAUUAGUAUUCAAUUGUCAGAGGUGAAAUUCUUGGAUUUAUUGAAGACUAACUACUGCGAAAGCAUUUGCCAAGGAUGUUUUCAUUAAUCAAGAACGAAAGUUAGGGGAUCGAAGACGAUCAGAUACCGUCGUAGUCUUAACCAUAAACUAUGCCGACUAGGGAUCGGAUGAUGUUAAUUUUUUAAUGACUCAUUCGGCGCCUUACG